AAAGUCGUAACAAGGUCUCCGUAGGUGAACCUGCGGAGGGAUCAUUACAGAGCUCCAAUUGCCCUAACGGGUAGAUCUCCCACCCUAUGUUAUCAUUACCAUGUUGCUUUGGCGGGCCGUCAGGGCUUCACGGCUUCCGGCUACCGGCUCCGGCUGGUAAGCGCCCGCCAGAGGACCUCAAACCCUGAAUAUUCGUGUCGUCUGAGUAUCCAUAUAAUAGUUAAAA
RNAcentral lists this unclassified non-coding RNA (226 nucleotides) under plant metagenome. RNAcentral's name for it is "partial contains small subunit ribosomal RNA and internal transcribed spacer 1". The stretch from base 1 to 47 matches the Rfam family "Eukaryotic small subunit ribosomal RNA", at positions 1785 to 1831 of the family's 1831-position model. The record is from RNAcentral.